GGAAAUGAGGAACAAAUUGAAUUGUACCAUGUACCUUAUUUUGCUUAUUGAUAUUCUGAUUCCA
Brassica napus (rape) is the source of this 64-nucleotide non-coding RNA. Lineage: Eukaryota; Viridiplantae; Streptophyta; Magnoliopsida; Brassicales; Brassicaceae. The record is from Rfam.